Molecule: small RNA, 82 nt
Filed under: Flavobacterium sp. KMS
Lineage: Bacteria; Pseudomonadati; Bacteroidota; Flavobacteriia; Flavobacteriales; Flavobacteriaceae
Description: Flavo-1 RNA
Rfam family: Flavo-1 RNA
Source: Rfam by way of RNAcentral
CAAUAGCCCUGAUGGAAGUGCAAAUCCUUUUUCUUUUUUUCUUUAAAAAAGGAAAAGAUUGAAGCGAACAGCAGGAACUUUA